CUAGUUGUGUGAAGGGGAACAAGCAAGGCCAAUCUACCGCUGCUGUUGUGCUCCCCUUGAACGAUCUGGUGAAGGACAAGUUGGUCCAUAGGUUGGUAUCUUAGGAGAACCUAGGCGUGCUAUGUGGGGAAGCAAAGCAGCAGCUCACAACUCCGGCGUGCAACUCCAGAUGAAGGCACCGCAACGACGCAUCAUGCUGCUGCUCCCUUGGAAGGUCGGCUCAUGGACCGUAACUUUCUCUCAACUUGUGCUCUCCUUGAUACCAGUUCAUUGUAUUGCUCUCAACUUGUGCAAAUUGCAAUAUGCAGGGCUUCCUAGUCCUUGGCCUGCCUUCUGGAUGGAGCAAGGAGGGGGCAUCAUCCACACCGCGGAGCUGGUUGAGCCUUAGUGUGACAUGGAGAAGCAGGGCAUCGUCGGGGACAUCUCUCGCUUGUGCCAUGGUAAGAACAGAGCGUCACUCUCUGUCGUGCAUGUAUUGAAAUGCCAAAAUGUCAAAUACAUGUUCGCUCUCAGCUGGGAUAUUGGAUUGUACUUAGUUAUGUGCCUCGUUCAUGUUCGUGCUGCUUUUUAAGUGAUUACCUUUAUGUACUUGCUACCAGUAGGAUGGUCAAUACAUGCUUGUUUUGUAUCUAUUCCAGAACAGUUUGCUUGGUUGCCUGAUGCUUGAUGCAUCCAUAAUGUGACACACACAUCAGGAAAUCUGAAUAACUUUGACAUAGUUGCUCUAUCAUCUUGCACUGGGUUGGUACUUGUCAUUUUCCCUUCCCAAAUAUAUCUCAGUUUUGCUGUUAUGAGAAUGUUAUAUGCAUGGUUUCUUAUUAGAUCUCAAAUUCUGGAGCUAUUUUUCAUUGUUAGGAGAAUGUUAUAUGCACGGCCUCACUUGAUUGUAUUCCUAACUUUUCUGAUUUAUAACUCGCAGAUUUUGGCCUUCAUUCGUCAAAAGUUGGUGUACAAGGAACUACAGGAGAAGAAUCCUAAAAAAAACCGGCACCCAACAAUGUGUUUUAGCUCCCUGGAGCUGGACAUGUUAAUAUUUAGCUGUAUUUUAUAGUUGAAUACCUGAUUUGUACUGCCAUGAUUGUAAAGUACCUGCCAUGAUUUGGCUGUCGUUUGAAAUUUUUUGUGUUAUUGGCUCUGUUUGAAUCAAGUUAUUGGUUGUUGCACAAAUAGAGAACUGACGUGUGGCACCUAAACAGCACACAUGGUCCCAUUUCACUAGUGGA
Molecule: non-coding RNA, 1223 nt
Organism: Aegilops tauschii subsp. strangulata
Lineage: Eukaryota; Viridiplantae; Streptophyta; Magnoliopsida; Poales; Poaceae
Source: RefSeq, a predicted model, not a curated record